AUGAAGGAACUUGAGCAACUGGACAGCCAAAUUGAGAUCUCUCUCAAACAUAUCAGGGCGACAAAGAGCCAGCAGUCACUUGAUCAGCUCUUCGAGCUCAAGCACAAGGAACAACAACUGCAAGAUGUUAAUAAAGACUUACGAAAGAAGAUACAAGAAACUAGUGCGGAAAGUGUUCUACAGAUGUUUUGCCAGGAUGUUGGACCUAGUGGGUCUAGUGGCCAUGCUAAUCAAGCUAAUCAACAGGAGCAUUUUCAUCCUGAUUGUGACCCUUCCUUGUGUAUGGGGUAUGAUCAUGCUUACCUGGAUGACUUGAACAAGGAAUGA
RNAcentral lists this ribosomal RNA (327 nucleotides) under Triticum aestivum (bread wheat). Its description in RNAcentral is "partial small subunit ribosomal RNA". Lineage: Eukaryota; Viridiplantae; Streptophyta; Magnoliopsida; Poales; Poaceae. The record is from RNAcentral.